UAGGGAAUCUUCGGCAAUGGACGAAAGCCUGACCGAGCAACGCCGCGUGAGUGAAGAAGGUCUUCGGAUCGUAAAACUCUGUUGUUAGAGAAGAACAAGGACGUUAGUAACUGAACGUCCCCUGACGGUAUCUAACCAGAAAGCCACGGCUAACUACGUGCCAGCAGCCGCGGUAAUACGUAGGUGGCAAGCGUUGUCCGGAUUUAUUGGGCGUAAAGCGAGCGCAGGCGGUUUCUUAAGUCUGAUGUGAAAGCCCCCGGCUCAACCGGGGAGGGUCAUUGGAAACUGGGAGACUUGAGUGCAGAAGAGGGGGGUGGAAUUCCAUGUGUAGCGGUGAAAUGCGUAGAGAUAGGGAGGAACACCAGUGGCGAAGGCGGCUCUCUGGUCUGUAACUGACGCUGAGGCUCGAAAGCGUGGGGAGCAAACAGG
Molecule: ribosomal RNA, 429 nt
Filed under: Gemmatimonadota bacterium
Lineage: Bacteria; Pseudomonadati; Gemmatimonadota
Description: Gemmatimonadetes bacterium partial 16S ribosomal RNA
Rfam family: Bacterial small subunit ribosomal RNA
Source: RNAcentral